Lolium rigidum is the source of this 480-nucleotide long non-coding RNA. RefSeq lists it as uncharacterized. NCBI's taxonomy places the organism in Eukaryota, Viridiplantae, Streptophyta, Magnoliopsida, Poales, Poaceae. The record is from RefSeq and is a predicted model, not a curated record. The transcript has 3 exons.
GUUGUAAACUAUAAAUUCAGUUUCAUCUGCCGUUGUUCAAUUAUAGUUCAUGUUGCAUACUUGAUUGUGCACGAGAUGAUUCGGAGCAAUAUGAGGAAGUACUGGAGGAUGAGAGGAAAGCUUUGCUAGCACUGAAAGCUGAGGACAGAAAGGUUGAGAUAGAUAAGGACUUCCAGUCAAUGCAACAACUUUCUAUGAAGAGGGUUCUGAGAAGGACAAAAGGACAGAAAAUGUUGAUAGAGAUGAGCGUGUCAAGAAGUAUCUUAGCAUCAAUGAAUCCCUGAAGCUGGUUGAAGGUGAAAGGUACCCUGGUAGCGAUCUGGCAGCCGGCAGAGGCCGGUGGUGAUCGUGGAGGAUACAUGGUGACUAUACUUUCUGAGGACCAGUUAAGGUGUCGUCAAUUGAAGAUCAAUUACAGUUUACUACAUUAGGUGGGAAAUGAAGAUACUAUCAUCCGCAAACACCUUUUCAUAUUUUAUG